CUUGGGGCUGGGCUCUGUGGCUACUGAGAUGGGUCGGGAGGGGUCUCCGGCACGUCAGAGAUAUCACACCUGCUCACCGUGGCCUAUACGUUUCACGCUGCCUUCAUUCUGCCUUGUCUUCAGCCUUUCGAACACCAAGAAACUCCUUGAGGAAAUGGAGGUGGGAGGAGACCAGGUUGGGGUAAAAUGCAAUCGUCCCGCCCAGGGAUCAAACCAUUGUCUCCUAGAGCUCCUGCAUUGGCAGGUGGAUUCUUUACCACUGGGCCACCUGGGAAGCCCCAAAGCAAUUCAUACCUCUGCAAGAAAUGGGAAGAAACACUGUCUACUGAAAAAGAGAGGUCCAGAUACCAACGAACUACAAACAGCUCAUGAAUUUUCGUCAUGGCGACCUUUCGGGCCAAUCAGUGAGGAACAGGAAGUGGAUGGGAUUGGACCCAGGCUAUAUCUGAGCCACAGCUCUCCCCGCCCUCUCUCUCUGGUGCUUCUAGGAUCUGUGUGGUUUCCUACUGGAUGACGACUUCGACUAGAUUAAAUCCCACUCUCAACUUCCACUCAUGGAAGAAACUGCUGGAACCUCAGUGCCAAUUUUUUAUGAAAUUGCCAUGUGAAUUUGUUGAGUCCAGAAGGUGUGUUCUCAGUAAUGCCUCAAGGCUGUCCACCAACUGAAUUAAUACAGCAUCUCAGCACCAAGUUCAGCCUGCCAUCUCCUCCUCGUAGCAAGAUCAGCCUAGGCUGGAACCCUCAGGGAAAGCCUCCCCAGAGCACCACAGCUUAGAGGGAGGGGAAAGGAAACAUUUCUGGAAAUGAGAGUGACAGGAGCAGAGUUAGAGGGAUGUAGGUGAUGACAGGUGAUGAUGUGGUGAGGAUGGUGAGGACGACUAACGCUCAUUGAGAGUCUACCAUACUCACUCCCAGAGCUGUUUAACUCUUUCCAAGUGUAAGUUCAUUUGUCUCUGAC
Bos taurus (domestic cattle) is the source of this 958-nucleotide long non-coding RNA. The record is from Ensembl. Lineage: Eukaryota; Metazoa; Chordata; Mammalia; Artiodactyla; Bovidae.